Molecule: ribosomal RNA, 446 nt
Filed under: uncultured bacterium
Lineage: Bacteria
Description: bacterial SSU rRNA
Rfam family: Bacterial small subunit ribosomal RNA
Source: RNAcentral
CUCCAGACUCCUACGGGAGGCAGCAGUGGGGAAUAUUGCACAAUGGGGGAAACCCUGAUGCAGCGACGCCGCGUGAGUGAAGAAGUAUUUCGGUAUGUAAAGCUCUAUCAGCAGGGAAGAAAAUGACGGUACCUGACUAAGAAGCCCCGGCUAACUACGUGCCAGCAGCCGCGGUAAUACGUAGGGGGCAAGCGUUAUCCGGAUUUACUGGGUGUAAAGGGAGCGUAGACGGCAUGGCAAGUCAGAUGUGAAAGCCCGGGGCUCAACCCCGGGACUGCAUUUGAAACUGUCAGGCUGGAGUGCAGGAGAGGUAAGUGGAAUUCCUAGUGUAGCGGUGAAAUGCGUAGAUAUACGGAGGAACACCAGUGGCGAAGGCGGAUUGCUGGACAGUAACUGACGCUGAGGCGCGAAAGCGUGGGGAGCAAACAGGAUUAGAUACCCCGGUA